Long non-coding RNA from Cebus imitator (Panamanian white-faced capuchin), 2734 nucleotides. RefSeq lists it as uncharacterized. The transcript has 2 exons. The record is from RefSeq and is a predicted model, not a curated record. NCBI's taxonomy places the organism in Eukaryota, Metazoa, Chordata, Mammalia, Primates, Cebidae.
CUGUGCCUCUGUGCAUUAAUAUUUGGAUGCAUGCAAUGCUAGCAUGGAAAUUGGUCUUCACACAUACUGCAGUUUUCCAGAAACACUCACAAACCAAUAAAUGUAACAGAUAUUCCAUUUGUUAAUGGGCAUAUAUGUGAAAAAGCAGUGUAGAAAAUAGGCUAAUAUUAGAAAAUGGUUAAGUCCUUAAUAACUUCAAGUGUGGUUAUAUAAUGGACACUGUCAAUGUUCAUAACUUAAACCUGGGUACCUGGUCAAAAUAAUGCUUGGGAAACAUUAAAAUUGAGCUAAAUUGUCUCAAGUUCUUUUAUUCAUAUAAAUAAAGUUUAAAGGAAUGGGGGAGAUUGACAUUUCCUGUUUUAUGUUUGUGAAAUUGUUUGACACAACCUUGACAGUAUCCUUUAAUGGCAUAUAAGGUUAAUUGUACUGUUAACCAACUUUCUAUGUUCUGGAACUAGUAUUAUAGUGAAAACAUUUACAGUAAGUUGAUGUUUACAACCUAUAAGCAGGUGAAAUCUGUGUAUGUGACCUGUUUAUAAGUUGUAUUAGCUUAGCUCUUGUGAACAGUGUGGAAAAGUAAGCCAUGAGGAGAGCGAUUUAACCAGCUUUAAAGGACCUAAGAUGUGCUUUUUAAGCACAGUGUGGAUCAAAGGAAACUCACUAAGACAGGACUUCAGCAGCCUUUUGUGUAUGGACAAGUCAGCAUAAAUAAAGAAUGACAAGGCAGCAGCAAGAGCUUCAACUACAGAGAAGUGAAGGCAUAAGAUACUAUGAUGAUAGUGAGCAACUUUUCAAAAGCUAGUUAAAUCUGCUUAUUACAACUGAAAUAUCGAAGAAAGUCUAGCAGGAAGGAGCUCUUCGCCUUUUGGAACAUCAAUGAGAGAUAGUUGCCACAGUCACUAGGUCUAGCAUUUAGACCUGCAAGGAAGGGCAAUAAGCAUUAGGUUGAAUGAGAACCCUACUUGCCUAAAUGCGGAAUGUCUUUCCUACCAUCUAAAAUACGAAGGUUUCUGGCUGGGUAAGGUUUGUAGUUGACAGUAAAACCUGAUGACACCAUUUGUUUCCCUACAAGUACAAAUUUCACAACUUUGUCCUUUUCUAGUAGGCACAUUGGUAAAAUUCUUCAGCUGAAAACUACCUUGGUACCAUGUCCAACACAUUUAAACCUUAGUUUUAAAAAUUCUCCUGUAAUAGUCAUAGGUAUUCAUCUGGAGUCAGUUGUGACCCCUUGUGUAUACCAUUUUUUAUUAGUGUCUUCAGGGUAAACUCAAUUUUUGGUAAGAGAAGGUAGCUUCAGCUUUGGUAAAAACCGUUUUUUAAUAAGCAUUACACACCACAGACUCAGUAGGCUGGCAAUCCUCAUGUUAGGAAAAACACCUUCAAAGGAACAGUAAAAGUUAACAGGGCCUGGCACAAUAGGUCAUGCCUGUAAUCUCAGCACUUUGGGAGGCUAAGGCAGAUGGAUCCCAAGUCUAGGAGUUUGAGACUAGCCUGGGUGACAAAAGCAGACAAAUUAGCCAGGCUUGGUGUUCCACAUCUGUAGUCCCAGCAGCUUGGGAGGCUGAGAUGGGAGGAUGCCUUGAUAGGAGGUUGAGGCUGCAGUGAGCUGACUGCCCCACUGUGUUCCAGCCUUGUUGACAGACCUCAUCUCAGAAAAGUUAUCAGAUGUCACAGAUGAAAUUUGGUCUUCAAGUGGCCUCAUAAGUUCUCUCAUAUAAAUUCAGGGAAUUCCUUGGAUAGGUUACAUUUUGGUUCCUUUUUUUGUUUAGGUUCAUCUGUUAACCAGAAGCAAUGGGGGCCUAAUUAGUGCUCCUUUGUAAAAAGACAUUUUUCCAAAGAAUACUGAAUUACUGUUCAUACUGGUUGUUGAUGGUUAAUAAGGGCUGUUUUUGCUGUCCCAAAAGGACUUAACAAUUUAGGUGGUUAGUUUACCUUAAAAAGCAGCCUUUGGAGACAAAUACUGAAAAUGCAAACUAGUUUCCAAAUUAUCAGUUUUCCUACGUGAAGAGCAGUCAGUUUGCCAGUGUUCUUAGAAAAUGGCUGUUGGCUCUAUCUAAAUGAGAACCCAAUUUCUACACAUGUUGAGUAAGGUAACAGCCUUUGAAUUUCCUUUACAACGUGGUUUUAGUGAAGCAAAUUUCCUAAGAAAGGAAACGUUUUUAUUUUUUAAGUGCAUUGUUCUUUCUAGUUCAUUUCUUUAUGAAAUAAAAUUGUUUUAUUUAAACAUAGUUCCAUUGUCGUUUCUGAAAAAUACAGUAUAAGUUGUAGCAGCAGUAAAAAAAAAAAUUGUUAUAUAAGUGGUUGAGGCAGAUUUAACUGAUUUUGUUAAACCAAUUUAUAGGUUAAUGCUUCUAAUAUUACACUUCUAAAAAGCUGAUUUUAUAUUCAUGUUCUAAAGGAGACUGUGGUAAUAAAGUGUAUUUGUUAAUAAUUGAAAUAGGCUUGAUUUUAAGAGUUCCAGUAUAUAAUAGUCAACAAUUUGAAACCUAAUUAAUGACAGUAUCUCUUGGAGUUCCAGUAAUUGAUGUCACAAAAUAGUGAAUAAGCAUGCCAGUGUGCAAGGGUAAUGUAAGGAUUGUUGGCCUAUCUAAAUAUUCAAAAUUAUAAAACUUCAGUAUGUUUUCUAAUUUUUAAGAAUUCAGAAGUGUUCUGUAAUGGAUUCAGAUGUUUCAUUUGUAGUAUAAUGAAAUGUUUACAGAAAGAUAACUUUUUCAUUAAAAUAUUUUUAGAAAUG